GACGAACGCUGGCGGCGUGCCUAAUACAUGCAAGUAGAACGCACAGUUUAUACCGUAGCUUGCUACACCAUAGACUGUGAGUUGCGAACGGGUGAGUAACGCGUAGGUAACCUGCCUGGUAGCGGGGGAUAACUAUUGGAAACGAUAGCUAAUACCGCAUAAUAUUGAUUAUUGCAUGAUAAUUGAUUGAAAGAUGCUAUUGCAUCACUACCAGAUGGACCUGCGUUGUAUUAGCUAGUAGGUGAGGUAACGGCUCACCUAGGCGACGAUACAUAGCCGACCUGAGAGGGUGAUCGGCCACACUGGGACUGAGACACGGCCCAGACGCCUACGGGAGGCAGCAGUAGGGAAUCUUCGGCAAUGGGCGAAAGUCUGACCGAGCAACGCCGCGUGAGUGAAGAAGGGUGUCGGAUCGUAAAGCUCUGUUGUAAGAGAAGAACGGGUGUGAGAGUGGAAAGUUCACACUGUGACGGUAGCUUACCAGAAGGGGACGGCUAACUACGUG
This 505-nucleotide ribosomal RNA is filed under the name uncultured bacterium. Its description in RNAcentral is "partial 16S ribosomal RNA". It matches the Rfam family "Bacterial small subunit ribosomal RNA", at positions 28 to 507 of the family's 1533-position model. The record is from RNAcentral.